This is a non-coding RNA of Podarcis lilfordi (Lilford's wall lizard), 75 nucleotides long. NCBI's taxonomy places the organism in Eukaryota, Metazoa, Chordata, Lepidosauria, Squamata, Lacertidae. The record is from the annotation of a GenBank genome assembly.
AUCCUGGGUUGUGCAGUGGGCUAGUAUGUCUGGCUCUUAACCAGAAGGUUGGCGGUUUGAGCCCACCCUGGGAUG